AGGUCAAGUAGAAAAGGGCGCACGGUGAAUGCCUAGGCACUAACAGCCGAAGAAGGACGUGACGAACUACGAAAAGCUUCGGGGAGCGGUAAGUACGCAGUGAUCCGGAGAUAUCCGAAUGGGGGAACCCAAUGCAGAGAUGCAUUAUUGAUUAGUGAAUAGAUAGCUAAUCAAAGGAAGACGCAGUGAACUGAAACAUCUAAGUAGCUGCAGGAAGAGAAAGAAAGAUCGAUUUCCUUAGUAGCGGCGAGCGAAGAGGAAAGAGCCCAAACCAAGUGAUUUAUCAUUUGGGGUUGUAGGACUGCGACGUGGCAGUGUAAGAGAUAGUUGAAUUAUCUGGGAAGGUAAGCCAGAGAGGGUGAGAGCCCCGUAAGCGAAAUCUCAAGCACGCCUAGCAGAAUCCUGAGUAGGCCGGGACACGAGGAAUCCCGGUUGAAACCGCGAGGACCAUCUCGCAAGGCUAAAUACUAGUUAGUGACCGAUAGUGAACCAGUACCGUGAGGGAAAGGUGAAAAGAACCCCGGAAGGGGAGUGAAAAAGAACCUGAAACCGUGUGUCUACAAGUAGUCAAAGCACGUUAAAGUGCAAUGGCGUGCCUUUUGUAGAAUGAACCGGCGAGUUACGUUAUCUAG
RNAcentral lists this ribosomal RNA (632 nucleotides) under Lactobacillus crispatus. Its description in RNAcentral is "partial 23S ribosomal RNA". It matches the Rfam family "Bacterial large subunit ribosomal RNA", at positions 1 to 640 of the family's 2925-position model. The record is from RNAcentral. Lineage: Bacteria; Bacillati; Bacillota; Bacilli; Lactobacillales; Lactobacillaceae.